GAUGAACGCUGGCGGCGUGCCUAAUACAUGCAAGUCGAGCGAACGGACGAGAAGCUUGCUUCUCUGAUGUUAGCGGCGGACGGGUGAGUAACACGUGGAUAACCUACCUAUAAGACUGGGAUAACUUCGGGAAACCGGAGCUAAUACCGGAUGAUAUUUUGAACCGCAUGGUUCAAAAGUGAAGGACGGUCUUGCUGUCACUUAUAGAUGGAUCCGCGCUGCAUUAGCUAGUUGGUAAGGUAACGGCUUACCAAGGCAACGAUGCAUAGCCGACCUGAGAGGGUGAUCGGCCACACUGGAACUGAGACACGGUCCAGACUCCUACGGGAGGCAGCAGUAGGGAAUCUUCCGCAAUGGGCGAAAGCCUGACGGAGCAACGCCGCGUGAGUGAUGAAGGUCUUCGGAUCGUAAAACUCUGUUAUUAGGGAAGAACAUAUGUGUAAGUAACUGUGCACAUCUUGACGGUACCUAAUCAGAAAGCCACGGCUAACUACGUG
RNAcentral lists this ribosomal RNA (497 nucleotides) under uncultured bacterium. Its description in RNAcentral is "partial 16S ribosomal RNA". It matches the Rfam family "Bacterial small subunit ribosomal RNA", at positions 28 to 507 of the family's 1533-position model. The record is from RNAcentral.